Molecule: long non-coding RNA, 334 nt
Organism: Xenia sp. Carnegie-2017
Lineage: Eukaryota; Metazoa; Cnidaria; Anthozoa; Malacalcyonacea; Xeniidae
Exons: 3
Source: RefSeq, a predicted model, not a curated record
CAAGAACGCCGCACUUUAGAUAUCAUGUAGUUGGUUGCGUCUUGUAAUCUUUCUGAAUUUGUGAAGAUGGAGUCAAGAGAAGAAAAGAAUUACAACUACUUUCAGAAAAUACUUAAAAAUGUCGUUAAAAAGAAACUUGUUGAUUUAUUUAUCCAAGAGUGGAACGCUCAUUGCAGUAAAGACCACGGAGAAUGGGAAAAUACAAACAAGAUAAAAUACUCGUCUUUGAGAAAACGUACAAGGAGAUAGAAGAAGAGGAAAUGAAUUUGUAGCUCAUUUUUAAUGAAGAAGAAAAUCAAUUUCUCUUUUCAUUUUAGGUAUGUCUUCUUUAUAC